GAUGAACGCUGGCGGCGUGCCUAAUACAUGCAAGUCGAGCGAACGGACGAGAAGCUUGCUUCUCUGAUGUUAGCGGCGGACGGGUGAGUAACACGUGGAUAACCUACCUAUAAGACUGGGAUAACUUCGGGAAACCGGAGCUAAUACCGGAUAAUAUUUUGAACCGCAUGGUUCAAAAGUGAAAGACGGUCUUGCUGUCACUUAUAGAUGGAUCCGCGCUGCAUUAGCUAGUUGGUAAGGUAACGGCUUACCAAGGCAACGAUGCAUAGCCGACCUGAGAGGGUGAUCGGCCACACAGGAACUGAGACACGGUCCAGACUCCUACGGGAGGCAGCAGUAGGGAAUCUUCCGCAAUGGGCGAAAGCCUGACGGAGCAACGCCGCGUGAGUGAUGAAGGUCUUCGGAUCGUAAAACUCUGUUAUUAGGGAAGAACAUAUGUGUAAGUAACUGUGCACAUCUUGACGGUACCUAAGCAGAAAGCCACGGCUAACUACGU
RNAcentral lists this ribosomal RNA (496 nucleotides) under uncultured bacterium. RNAcentral's name for it is "partial 16S ribosomal RNA". It matches the Rfam family "Bacterial small subunit ribosomal RNA", at positions 28 to 506 of the family's 1533-position model. The record is from RNAcentral.